AGAGUUUGAUCAUGGCUCAGAACGAACGUUAGCGGCGCGCCUAACACAUGCAAGUCGAGCGAGAAAGGGGCAACCCUAGUAAAGCGGCGCACGGGUGAGUAACACGUAGGUAAUCUACCUUCUGGUGGUGGAUAACCUUCCGAAAGGAGGGCUAAUACAGCAUGAGACCACGACCAUCGAAAGAGGAUGGGGUCAAAGUC
Molecule: ribosomal RNA, 200 nt
Filed under: uncultured bacterium
Lineage: Bacteria
Description: partial 16S ribosomal RNA
Rfam family: Bacterial small subunit ribosomal RNA
Source: RNAcentral